GGAGGGUAUCCGAAUUGGUGAGGAGCCACACUGGAGAUGUGGUGCCCCGAAAGGGGUUGCGGGUUCGAGUCCCGCACCCUCCG
Molecule: transfer RNA, 83 nt
Filed under: Planctomycetota bacterium
Lineage: Bacteria; Pseudomonadati; Planctomycetota
Also listed under: 1 other name
Description: Planctomycetes bacterium (hot springs metagenome) tRNA-Ser
Rfam family: tRNA
About the family: Transfer RNA (tRNA) molecules are approximately 80 nucleotides in length. Their secondary structure includes four short double-helical elements and three loops (D, anti-codon, and T loops). Further hydrogen bonds mediate the characteristic L-shaped molecular structure. tRNAs have two regions of fundamental functional importance: the anti-codon, which is responsible for specific mRNA codon recognition, and the 3' end, to which the tRNAs corresponding amino acid is attached (by aminoacyl-tRNA synthetases). tRNAs cope with the degeneracy of the genetic code in two manners: having more than one tRNA (with a specific anti-codon) for a particular amino acid; and 'wobble' base-pairing, i.e. permitting non-standard base-pairing at the 3rd anti-codon position.
Source: RNAcentral